Molecule: long non-coding RNA, 775 nt
Filed under: Drosophila guanche
Lineage: Eukaryota; Metazoa; Arthropoda; Insecta; Diptera; Drosophilidae
Source: RNAcentral
CUUGCAAGCGCUCCUGUUUAUCCUCACGCUUCUCUUUAAUGUACAGUACCAAUAUGAUGAGUAUUAUGACCAGGCAAGUGCCUCCAAGGGCUACAACACUCAUCAGGAUCAGUUUACUGGGAGUAACAAACAGCUGAGCCUUCCAGUGCGAUGGCUCAUUCAGUGGCUUGGCACCACAAUAAUCUGUGAGUUUGGAAUCACCAGGCCUACGGCCAGCGGAUCUUCAAAGUUGGGUGUUNGUUUAAUUUCUAAAGGCAAUUUAAGACUUAUUAUUGAAGCUCCCAAUGGAUAAAAUUAAGAGAUACCCUAUUAAUUCGAAAUAUUACACAAUUUGAAAUAAUAAAAUGAAUCAACUGUCAUUUGACACGUUUGACAACGCUGACACGUUAAGAUUUCUUAGUUUAAAGUUUGUCGCAUAACAUGGCGUUGAACUGGAAUCUGUGCGACUCUUGCAAGCGCUCCUGUUUAUCCUCACGCUUCUCUUUAAUGUACAGUACCAAUAUGAUGAGUAUUAUGACCAGGCAAGUGCCUCCAAGGGCUACAACACUCAUCAGGAUCAGUUUACUGGGAGUAACAAACAGCUGAGCCUUCCAGUGCGAUGGCUCAUUCAGUGGCUUGGCACCACAAUAAUCUGUGAGUUUGGAAUCACCAGGCCUACGGCCAGCGGAUCUUCAAAGUUGGGUGUUCGGCCCAGGCCAAAGCAGGUGUACGGCAGUUGUAGGGCAAAAUAGGAUGCUCCAACACCCAUAUCUGCAAAGCUGGUGAUAGCAUAUUC